AUUCGAGGAAAAUGUUCAACUUCCCAAUUAUACGAACCAGAAAUACUGAAUAAACGAAUUCUGUUGACCUGAGGGAAGGUGUUAGGCACCCCCGGAUCCCGUGGUUCCAGCACAGUCGCUUAAAUUUUUAUGAAUGGCUAAAAUCUGAUUUUAUUACAUGAAGAGCUUGUGUGCCAAUUUUUACUUUUUACCGCUUUUAUUCGACAUAAUAUUUAUUUGA
RNAcentral lists this long non-coding RNA (220 nucleotides) under Nicotiana benthamiana. RNAcentral describes it as "long non-coding RNA (NBEN_LNC022244)". Lineage: Eukaryota; Viridiplantae; Streptophyta; Magnoliopsida; Solanales; Solanaceae. The record is from RNAcentral.